CCUACGGGAGGCAGCAGUCGAGAAUCAUUCACAAUGGGGGCAACUCUGAUGGUGCGACGCCGCGUGGAGGAAUGAAGGUCUUUGGAUUGUAAACCCCUGUCAUGUGGGGGCAAAUUAAAAAGAUAGUACCACAAGAGGAAGAGAUGGCUAACUCGGUGCCAGCAGCCGCGGUAAUACAGAGGUUUCAAGCGUUGUUCGGAAUCACUGGGCGUAAAGCGUGCGUAGGCUGUUUCGUAAGUCGUAGGUGAAAAGAGCGGGCUCAACCCGCGGACGGCACAUGAUACUGCGAGACUAGAGUAAUGGUGGGGGAACCGGAAUGCACGGUGUAGCGGUGAAAUGCGUAGAGAUCG
RNAcentral lists this ribosomal RNA (350 nucleotides) under uncultured bacterium. RNAcentral's name for it is "partial 16S ribosomal RNA". It matches the Rfam family "Bacterial small subunit ribosomal RNA", at positions 338 to 699 of the family's 1533-position model. The record is from RNAcentral.